Molecule: long non-coding RNA, 334 nt
Filed under: Dermacentor andersoni
Lineage: Eukaryota; Metazoa; Arthropoda; Arachnida; Ixodida; Ixodidae
Description: uncharacterized LOC126541771
Source: RNAcentral
GGAAUGCCUUCCUUGUCCUGGAUCUUGGCCUUCACGUUUUCUAUCGUAUCACUCGGCUCGACCUCAAGUGUGAUUGUCUUGCCAGUGAGCGUUUUCACAAAUAUUUGCAUACCUCCACGGAGUCGCAGAACAAGGUGAAGGGUGGACUCUUUCUGAAUGUUGUAGUCCGAGAGUGUGCGGCCAUCUUCGAGCUGCUUGCCGGCGAAGAUUAGACGCUGCUGGUCAGGCGGGAUUCCCUCCUUAUCCUGAAUUUUUGCCUUGACAUUUUCAAUGGUGUCGCUCGGUUCAACUUCGAGCGUGAUGGUCUUUCCGGUGAGCGUCUUCACGAAGAUCU